UACGGAGGAUCCAAGCGUUAUCCGGAAUUACUGGGCGUAAAGAGUUGCGUAGGUGGCAUAGUAAGCAAGUAUUGAAAUACUCCCGCUCAACGGGAGGGCCGGUAUUUGAACUGCUAAGCUAGAGGACGAGAGAGGUGAUUGGAAUUCCCAGUGUAGGGGUGAUAUCCGUAGAUAUUGGGAGGAACACCGAUGGCGUAGGCAGAUCACUGGCUCGUUCCUGACACUGAGGCACGAAAGCAUGGGUAGCAAACGGG
RNAcentral lists this unclassified non-coding RNA (254 nucleotides) under Patescibacteria group bacterium. RNAcentral's name for it is "contains 16S-23S intergenic spacer region". It matches the Rfam family "Bacterial small subunit ribosomal RNA", at positions 524 to 776 of the family's 1533-position model. The record is from RNAcentral.